Molecule: long non-coding RNA, 211 nt
Organism: Dermochelys coriacea (leatherback sea turtle)
Lineage: Eukaryota; Metazoa; Chordata; Testudines; Dermochelyidae
Exons: 2
Source: RefSeq, a predicted model, not a curated record
GGGAGUUCAGUUUAGACUCGACCUCGCUCCGGGAAGCGCCGCGGCAAGCGAGCAGCAGAGCGGAGCGCGCGAGCCAGGCGCAGCGACAUGACGUUACUUCCGGCGUGCGGGACAAAUCUAUUCCAGUGUUUCUAGCGCUUCUCUCAGCCUGAAAGGGACUCUAGGACUGGAGUCUGGGUAAAGGAGGAUGAUCCUGUGGGAGCAUGUGGAA